Molecule: ribosomal RNA, 504 nt
Filed under: uncultured bacterium
Lineage: Bacteria
Description: partial 16S ribosomal RNA
Rfam family: Bacterial small subunit ribosomal RNA
Source: RNAcentral
AUUGAACGCUGGCGGCAGGCCUAACACAUGCAAGUCGAGCGGUAGCACAGAGAGCUUGCUCUCGGGUGACGAGCGGCGGACGGGUGAGUAAUGUCUGGGAAACUGCCUGAUGGAGGGGGAUAACUACUGGAAACGGUAGCUAAUACCGCAUAAUGUCGCAAGACCAAAGUGGGGGACCUUCGGGCCUCAUGCCAUCAGAUGUGCCCAGAUGGGAUUAGCUAGUAGGUGGGGUAAUGGCUCACCUAGGCGACGAUCCCUAGCUGGUCUGAGAGGAUGACCAGCCACACUGGAACUGAGACACGGUCCAGACUCCUACGGGAGGCAGCAGUGGGGAAUAUUGCACAAUGGGCGCAUGCCUGAUGCAGCCAUGCCGCGUGUGUGAAGAAGGCCUUCGGGUUGUAAAGCACUUUCAGCGGGGAGGAAGGCGGUGAGGUUAAUAACCUCAUCGAUUGACGUUACCCGCAGAAGAAGCACCGGCUAACUCCGUGCCAGCCGCCGCCGUAA